This 490-nucleotide ribosomal RNA is filed under the name uncultured bacterium. Its description in RNAcentral is "partial 16S ribosomal RNA". It matches the Rfam family "Bacterial small subunit ribosomal RNA", at positions 30 to 507 of the family's 1533-position model. The record is from RNAcentral.
AUUGAACGCUGGCGGCAGGCCUAACACAUGCAAGUCGAACGGUAACAGGAAGAAGCUUGCUUCUUUGCUGACGAGUGGCGGGCGGGUGAGUAAUGUCUGGGAAAGUGCCUGAUGGAGGGGGAUAACUACUGGAAACGGUAACUAAUACCGCAUAACGUCGGAAGACCAAAGAGGUGGGCCUUCCGGCCUCUUGCCAUCGGCUGUGCCCAGAUGGGAUUAGCUAGUAGGUGGGGUAACGGCUCACCUAGGCGACGAUCCCUAGCUGGUCUGAGAGGAUGAACAGUCACACUGGAACUGAGACACGGUCCAGACUCCUACGGGAGGCAGCAGUGGGGAAUAUUGCACAAUGGGCGCAAGCCUGAUGCAGCCAUGCCGCGUGUAUGAAGAAGGCCUUCGGGUUGUAAAGUACUUUCAGCGGGGAGGAAGGGAGUAAAGUUAAUACCUUUGCUCAUUGACGUUACCCGCAGAAGAAGCACCGGCUAACUCCGUG